RNAcentral lists this ribosomal RNA (515 nucleotides) under uncultured bacterium. RNAcentral's name for it is "bacterial SSU rRNA". It matches the Rfam family "Bacterial small subunit ribosomal RNA", at positions 15 to 518 of the family's 1533-position model. The record is from RNAcentral.
GAUCCUGGCUCAGGAUGAACGCUAGCUACAGGCUUAACACAUGCAAGUCGAGGGGCAUCAUGGAGUUUGCUUGCAAACUCUGAUGGCGACCGGCGCACGGGUGAGUAACGCGUAUCCAACCUUCCCUAUAGUAGAGGAUAGCCCGGCGAAAGUAGGAUUAAUACUCUAUGUUUUCCGUUGCAGACAUCUAAGAUGGAACAAAGGCUUGCCGCUAUAGGAUGGGGAUGCGUCUGAUUAGGUAGUCGGCGGGGUAACGGCCCACCGAGCCUUCGAUCAGUAGGGGUUCUGAGAGGAAGGUCCCCCACAUUGGAACUGAGACACGGUCCAAACUCCUACGGGAGGCAGCAGUGAGGAAUAUUGGUCAAUGGGCGCGAGCCUGAACCAGCCAAGUAGCCGUGCAGGAUGACGGCCCUAUGGGUUGUAAACUGCUUUUAUGCGGGGAUAAAGUUCACUACGUGUAGUGUUUUGUAGGUACCGCAUGAAUAAGGACCGGCUAAUUCCGUGCCAGCCGCCGC